ACAUACGACCAUAGCUAGAUGAGAAUUCGGGGUCCCCUCUGCUCCCCCAUACAUGUAGACAAGCCACUAACCGGCAGAUUAGUAGUUGAGUGGCUGACCAUCAGCGAACACCGGCUGUUGUAUGUU
This 126-nucleotide ribosomal RNA is filed under the name Trichoderma virens Gv29-8. Lineage: Eukaryota; Fungi; Ascomycota; Sordariomycetes; Hypocreales; Hypocreaceae. The record is from RNAcentral.